GACGAACGCUGGCGGCGUGCUUAACACAUGCAAGUCGAACGGAAAGGCCCGGCUUUUGUGGUGUGCUCGAGUGGCGAACGGGUGAGUAACACGUAAGUAACCUGCCCUGUACUUGGGGAUAACUUCAGGAAACUGUAGCUAAUACCGCAUAGGAGCUCCUGCUGCAUGGUGUGUGUUGGAAAGUUUCGGUGGUUGGGGAUGGACUCGCGGCUGAGGAGCUUGUUGGUGGGGUAGUGGCUUCGCAAGGCUUUGACGGGUAGCCGUACUGGGAGGGUGACAGGCCACAGUGGGACUGAGAUAGGGGCCAGACGGAUACGGGAGGAAGCAGUGGGGGAUUGUGCACAAUGGGCGGAAGCCGGAUGCAAGAAUGCCGCGUGGGGGAUCACGGUUUUCGGGGUGGAAACCGCUUGCGCCUGUGACGAAGCGAGAGUGACGGUAAUGGGUAAAGAAGCACCGGCUAACUACGUG
Molecule: ribosomal RNA, 468 nt
Filed under: uncultured bacterium
Lineage: Bacteria
Description: partial 16S ribosomal RNA
Rfam family: Bacterial small subunit ribosomal RNA
Source: RNAcentral